Ribosomal RNA from Nosema bombycis CQ1, 106 nucleotides. It matches the Rfam family "Eukaryotic large subunit ribosomal RNA", at positions 1 to 106 of the family's 3401-position model. The record is from Rfam. NCBI's taxonomy places the organism in Eukaryota, Fungi, Microsporidia, Nosematidae.
AAUUCUAAUUCAUUUUAGGAUAACCCUUUGAACUUAAGCAUAUCAGUAAAAGGAGGAAAAGAAACUAACAAGGAUUUCUUUAGUAGUGGCGAAUGAAUAAGAAAGG